This 460-nucleotide ribosomal RNA is filed under the name uncultured bacterium. RNAcentral's name for it is "partial 16S ribosomal RNA". It matches the Rfam family "Bacterial small subunit ribosomal RNA", at positions 338 to 795 of the family's 1533-position model. The record is from RNAcentral.
CCUACGGGGGGCAGCAGUGAGGAAUAUUGGUCAAUGGACGAGAGUCUGAACCAGCCAAGUAGCGUGAAGGAUGACUGCCCUAUGGGUUGUAAACUUCUUUUAUAUGGGAAUAAAAUGUUCCACGUGUGGAAUUUUGCAUGUACCAUAUGAAUAAGGAUAGGCUAACUCCGUGCCAGCAGCCGCGGUAAUACGGAGGAUCCGAGCGUUAUCCGGAUUUAUUGGGUUUAAAGGGAGCGUAGGUGGAUUGUUAAGUCAGUUGUGAAAGUUGGCGGCUCAACCGUAAAAUUGCAGUUGAAACUGGCAGUCUUGAGGACAGUAGAGGUGGGCGGAAGUCGUGGUGUAGCGGUGAAAUGCUUAGAUAUCACGAAGAACUCCGAUUGCGAAGGCAGCUCACUGGACUACAACUGACACUGAGGCUCGAAAGUGUGGGGAUCAAACAGGAUUAGAUACCCGAGUAGUC